Molecule: ribosomal RNA, 1529 nt
Filed under: Neisseria flavescens
Lineage: Bacteria; Pseudomonadati; Pseudomonadota; Betaproteobacteria; Neisseriales; Neisseriaceae
Description: 16S ribosomal RNA
Source: RNAcentral
AGGUGAUCCAGCCGCAGGUUCCCCUACGGCUACCUUGUUACGACUUCACCCCAGUCAUGAAGCAUACCGUGGUAAGCGGGCUCCUUGCGGUUACCCUACCUACUUCUGGUAUCCCCCACUCCCAUGGUGUGACGGGCGGUGUGUACAAGACCCGGGAACGUAUUCACCGCAGUAUGCUGACCUGCGAUUACUAGCGAUUCCGACUUCAUGCACUCGAGUUGCAGAGUGCAAUCCGGACUACGAUCGGUUUUGUGAGAUUGGCUCCACCUCGCGGCUUGGCUACCCUCUGUACCGACCAUUGUAUGACGUGUGAAGCCCUGGUCAUAAGGGCCAUGAGGACUUGACGUCAUCCCCACCUUCCUCCGGCUUGUCACCGGCAGUCUCAUUAGAGUGCCCAACUAAAUGAUGGCAACUAAUGACAAGGGUUGCGCUCGUUGCGGGACUUAACCCAACAUCUCACGACACGAGCUGACGACAGCCAUGCAGCACCUGUGUUACGGCUCCCGAAGGCACUCCUCCGUCUCUGGAGGAUUCCGUACAUGUCAAGACCAGGUAAGGUUCUUCGCGUUGCAUCGAAUUAAUCCACAUCAUCCACCGCUUGUGCGGGUCCCCGUCAAUUCCUUUGAGUUUUAAUCUUGCGACCGUACUCCCCAGGCGGUCAAUUUCACGCGUUAGCUACGCUACUAAGCAAUCAAGUUGCCCAACAGCUAAUUGACAUCGUUUAGGGCGUGGACUACCAGGGUAUCUAAUCCUGUUUGCUACCCACGCUUUCGAGCAUGAACGUCAGUGUUAUCCCAGGAGGCUGCCUUCGCCAUCGGUAUUCCUCCACAUCUCUACGCAUUUCACUGCUACACGUGGAAUUCUACCUCCCUCUGACACACUCUAGUCACUCAGUUCAGAACGCAGUUCCCAGGUUGAGCCCGGGGAUUUCACAUCCUGCUUAAGUAACCGUCUGCGCUCGCUUUACGCCCAGUAAUUCCGAUUAACGCUCGCACCCUACGUAUUACCGCGGCUGCUGGCACGUAGUUAGCCGGUGCUUAUUCUUCAGGUACCGUCAUCAGCUAUUGAUAUUAGCAACAGCCUUUUCUUCCCUGACAAAAGUCCUUUACAACCCGAAGGCCUUCUUCAGACACGCGGCAUGGCUGGAUCAGGCUUGCGCCCAUUGUCCAAAAUUCCCCACUGCUGCCUCCCGUAGGAGUCUGGGCCGUGUCUCAGUCCCAGUGUGGCGGAUCAUCCUCUCAGACCCGCUACUGAUCGUCGCCUUGGUAGGCCUUUACCCCACCAACUAGCUAAUCAGAUAUCGGCCGCUCGAAUAACGCAAGGCCCAAAGGUCCCCUGCUUUCCUCCUCAGAGAAUAUGCGGUAUUAGCUAAUCUUUCGAUUAGUUAUCCCCCAUUACUCGGUACGUUCCGAUAUAUUACUCACCCGUUCGCCACUCGCCACCCAAGAAGCAAGCUUCUCUGUGCUGCCGUCCGACUUGCAUGUGUAAAGCAUGCCGCCAGCGUUCAAUCUGAGCCAGGAUCAAACUCU